CUGGGAUUCUGUCCCUUCAGAAGUGCCGAGCACAAUGCCUGGCAUUUAGGAAGUCACAUAUUAUUAUAUAAACUACCGUUUAUUCCUCAUAACAGCCCUAUGAGUUAGAAACUAUAAUUAUAAGCAUUUUGCAGAUGGAAGAAAGGAAGCCCAAAGUAGAUAUGUCACAUUUCUAAGGUCUCAUAACUAGUAAACAUUUGGAGUUACCAGCUAUGUGAUCUUAGUCACACUGCAGACGUAGGUCCCAAAUAUCAAAAGUUGCCUCUUUUCCCACCAUGAGAGGUAUAGAGAGGGAAUCUAAAGGUAACUCUUGUCCAUGCUAAAUCUGAUGAGGUAAUCUGAUUCAAAAGCACACUCUCUUAAUUCCUGUGCCAUUGGCAAUCCCAGAAGCACUUGGGGUGCUGGCUGGGCCCAGGAUGCCAGAGAAUAAGGAAGAAUACCUGAGGGAAGGUCUUCUGAGGAGUCAGUUCUAUCUUCCCUUGAGACAUGGUGGGAAAGGUACAGAGUUAAGGAAUUCCACAGAAUACAGGAGCCUGGAAGGGUCAGAGACUUAAUUCCUAUCCAUUAUAGCAUGGAAAGACCCCCGAUAAGCUCUUUUCAAUCCCAGUAGCGAAACAUUUUGAACAAAGCUUCCUUUCUCACCUGCCCACUUGCCCCA
RNAcentral lists this long non-coding RNA (658 nucleotides) under Marmota monax (woodchuck). Lineage: Eukaryota; Metazoa; Chordata; Mammalia; Rodentia; Sciuridae. The record is from RNAcentral.